CCAGACUCCUACGGGAGGCAGCAGUGGGGAAUAUUGCACAAUGGGGGAAACCCUGAUGCAGCAACGCCGCGUGAGGGAAGACGGUUUUCGGAUUGUAAACUUCUAUCAAUAGGGAAGAAAGAAAUGACGGUACCUAAAUAAGAAGCCCCGGCUAACUACGUGCCAGCAGCCGCGGUAAUACGUAGGGGGCAAGCGUUAUCCGGAUUUACUGGGUGUAAAGGGAGCGUAGACGGCAGCGCAAGUCUGGAGUGAAAUGCCGGGGCCCAACCCCGGAACUGCUCUGGAAACUGUGAAGCUGGAAUGCAGGAGAGGUAAGCGGAAUUCCUGGUGUAGCGGUGAAAUGCGUAGAUAUCAGGAGGAACACCGGCGGCGAAGGCGGCUUACUGGACUGUAACUGACGUUGAGGCUCGAAGGCGUGGGGAGCAAACAGGAUUAGAUACCCCAGUA
Molecule: ribosomal RNA, 447 nt
Filed under: uncultured bacterium
Lineage: Bacteria
Description: bacterial SSU rRNA
Rfam family: Bacterial small subunit ribosomal RNA
Source: RNAcentral